UGAUCACAGUACUCUCUUUGUCAAUUACCUCAGCGUUAUCCUCAAACUGCAAAGGAUCUGAAUCAAUUUGAGACACACAAGUCUUGUUACUGAACUUGGGUGAGUCCAAUUUCAUGUUUUCAUAUUCUGUUUCCUUCAUUUUCUUGAAGAAAACUUGUGACACUUGAUCUUGUUCAUUUUCCACCACAGUUGCUCCCUGUUGUGAUACAAUAGACGUAAGUAAUUAAAGUAUGCUCUCCGUAAUAAUUUAAAUUUUCAGGUGAGAUGAUCACUCAAUUUAAAUAGCCAAAAAGCAAAAAAUAUUUUCACAUUUUUGAUCAACAGAAAAAGAAACAUUCUCGACUUUUAGGCGAGAUGAUCACACAAUUUAACAUUCCCAAAUCUGGAGCUUUGAUCUUUUUUAAAAAUAUUUAGAUGGUAACAUGUUUACCUCAACUGGAACCUUAGUGAUAACUUCUUUAAUAACCUCAUCAUCUUCUUGGAUAUUUUGUAUACUUGGAUUCAGCUGAUUUGGGAGUGGAACAAUUAGUUGAUUUGGCACUCUAGAGUGCUCUGUUGAGUCGACAAAUUGAGAAUCAUAUUUCCUAAAGGAAAUAUUUUGGCCUCCAUAAUCAUGGAUUUCAAGAAGUCCAUUAUUAGGAAGAAUUUCCCACUCAGUUUCAAGAUCCAUUUUUCACUGAAUGAAAUUAGCAAGGAGUUGUUACUAUUGAAUUGGUUUAAAUAGUUUAGAAUUCCGUGGAGUUCUUAUUCUUUUGGCAAUUGAAAAGUCAAAGAGAGUGAGUAAUGUGGGAUUUUAUUGAGAGAAGGCACUCAACUCAAUAUGGAGGAUGUCUUCUUGCUCUUUAGAGAGUGAAUGUUGAAUUUCUCCUCUUAGUUAUGAUGGUGAUUGAGUCAUAUAGGUGGAAGCUUAUCACUCUUUGAAAAAUCAAUAGGAUAGACCACAUAUAAGGAGGCUAAUCUAUACUAGAUAUUUCUCUCAAUUAUUAAUUGGAUUAAUUAAUAUAUAGUCAUUCUCAUUAGUUCAAUUAUGUCAUUUCGGAUAAACUUGAACUAUGGUGUGAAUUAACUAUAGAUUUUCUUUAUAUUAGUGGCGUCUAAUCAACUUGGCAUACCUCAACUGUUCCAUUCGAUAUUCAAUAUUUACUUAGAUUUGAAUUACCUAAGUUUUUCAUAAUUUUCGGUCACUUUUCAAUAUCUAUUACUUACUUAAAUUUGAGUACGCUAGUCUUUCAUAAUUUUUGCUCACUUCAUUAAUAGUAGUUAAGCCAUACCCUUUAGUACAACUAUAGAGUAAACAAUGUUCUCAAAGCCCUUUUAUUUCUUCUCUCUUUUAACUAAAGUGAUUCUCAUCAACGGUGUAAUUAUAACUCCAAUCUCUCAUAACAUUUUUUUAUUAGGCGAAAUACAUAAACAACUGACUCAUUUACCAUUUAGACACUUCAAGUAAUUAUUAAGUGUAUCAAGUAAAUACCCGAACGCUGAAGACUCUAUACGUAAGCUACAUUUGCCAAUGACGUGUCAAAUAAGCCAAUUAAAAAACGACACGUGUAAAUUGGAAUAAAAAAUUGACACAUAAUUAAAAAAAAAAAGAAAGAAAAGAAAAUACAUUAAAGAUGAAAGAGAAACCAUUUUCCUUUACUUUUGUUAAGACCAGUACUAACCCUCCCCUUCCCCCUUCCCCUCCCUUCCAUCUUCUUCUUUGCAGCAAUCGUGUCCCCCAUCCCCUUUUCUUAAAUCCCCCAACAAAUUAAUACUCAAACCAAUAUGAAAUAACAUAGAAUAGCUAAAUAGAGAACCACUAAGGAUCGUUAAUUGACCUCGCUGAAAAAGCACAUUAUGCAACCUUCAUUGUCGAAAAUUUGUUCUCCAAGUAAAGCUAGAAAACGAUUCUACCGGAAUCUUCAAUCUUCUCUCUAUUAUUUUCUUGAUUAUGAAUUUAGGCUUAUAUUACUUUUUUUCUCUCUACUUUGUUGUUUUUGGUAUAAAAUUAUACUUUAAAUUUCUGCCGUGAAAAUGAAAUAAGGUGGAGAAAUUGUGUUUUUACGGUGGAGAUGAGAGUGACAAGACUACUAAGAAAAAUAAUUGGUAGCUCUUGUUGCUGUAUUUUUGUUGCUUCUUUCGCUGGGUUUGGGACUGAUUUUUGGUCGAUGGAACUAGGCGGAGCUCGUAAUAGAGUUUUGUAUUGAAAGGUGGUAGUUUCUGGUGGUUUCCGGUGGCUUAGUUAGAGCUCUAAUGGCUGAUUUCCUGGCCUCUAUGGUGGUUUCAUGGUGGGUUGAAGUGGUUUUGUUAAGAAGAAAGAAAGAAGAGAGGCUAAGUUCUUGGUUUUUUUCCAAAGAAAAAACAAUAGGCUGAAAAAAUGACUUCAGGCGCCCAAGACUUUGUUAGCAAACAUGCAUGUGACACAUCAGAAUCAUGUGUUUACUUUAUAUACUUAAUAAAGUCUAAAUGAAAUAUGUGUUAGUUGAGGUAUUUGUUUGAUUGUUAAAAAUAACUUAAAAGGGCUG
This 2504-nucleotide long non-coding RNA is filed under the name Nicotiana tabacum (common tobacco). RNAcentral's name for it is "long non-coding RNA (NTAB_LNC000774)". The record is from RNAcentral. Lineage: Eukaryota; Viridiplantae; Streptophyta; Magnoliopsida; Solanales; Solanaceae.